RNAcentral lists this ribosomal RNA (478 nucleotides) under uncultured fungus. RNAcentral's name for it is "eukaryotic LSU rRNA". The stretch from base 180 to 333 matches the Rfam family "5.8S ribosomal RNA". The record is from RNAcentral. Lineage: Eukaryota; Fungi.
CAUUACAAGUAAGGCCACCGAACGCUGGAAACAGCGGUUAGGAGCUUACACCCACCCGUGUUUACAUACUAUUGUUGCUUUGGCGGGCCGUGGCCUCCACUGCGGGCUCUGCUCGUGUGUGCCCGCCAGAGGACCAAACUCUGAAUGUUAGUGAUGUCUGAGUACUAUCUAAUAGUUAAAACUUUCAACAACGGAUCUCUUGGUUCUGGCAUCGAUGAAGAACGCAGCGAAAUGCGAUAAGUAAUGUGAAUUGCAGAAUUCAGUGGAUCAUCGAAUCUUUGAACGCACAUUGCGCCCUGUGGUAUUCCGCAGGGCAUGCCUGUUCGAGCGUCAUUUAACCACUCACGCCUAGCGKGUAUUGGGGUACGCGGUCUCGCGGCCCUCAAAAUCAGUGGCGGCGCCGGUGGGCUCUAAGCGUAGUACAUACUCCCGCUAUAGAGUUCCCCGGUGCUCGCAGACCCCAAUGUUUUACAGGUUG